GCAGUCGAACGAACUCUGGUAUUGAUUGGUGCUUGCAUCAUGAUUUACAUUUGAGUGAGUGGCGAACUGGUGAGUAACACGUGGGAAACCUGCCCAGAAGCGGGGGAUAACACCUGGAAACAGAUGCUAAUACCGCAUAACAACUUGGACCGCAUGGUCCGAGUUUGAAAGAUGGCUUCGGCUAUCACUUUUGGAUGGUCCCGCGGCGUAUUAGCUAGAUGGUGGGGUAACGGCUCACCAUGGCAAUGAUACGUAGCCGACCUGAGAGGGUAAUCGGCCACAUUGGGACUGAGACACGGCCCAAACUCCUACGGGAGGCAGCAGUAGGGAAUCUUCCACAAUGGACGAAAGUCUGAUGGAGCAACGCCGCGUGAGUGAAGAAGGGUUUCGGCUCGUAAAACUCUGUUGUUAAAGAAGAACAUAUCUGAGAGUAACUGUUCAGGUAUUGACGGUAUUUAACCAGAAAGCCACGGCUAACUACGUGCCAGCAGCCGCGGUAAUACGUAGGUGGCAAGCGUUGUCCGGAUUUAUUGGGCGUAAAGCGAGCGCAGGCGGUUUUUUAAGUCUGAUGUGAAAGCCUUCGGCUCAACCGAAGAAGUGCAUCGGAAACUGGGAAACUUGAGUGCAGAAGAGGACAGUGGAACUCCAUGUGUAGCGGUGAAAUGCGUAGAUAUAUGGAAGAACACCAGUGGCGAAGGCGGCUGUCUGGUCUGUAACUGACGCUGAGGCUCGAAAGUAUGGGUAGCAAACAGGAUUAGAUACCCUGGUAGUCCAUACCGUAAACGAUGAAUGCUAAGUGUUGGAGGGUUUCCGCCCUUCAGUGCUGCAGCUAACGCAUUAAGCAUUCCGCCUGGGGAGUACGGCCGCAAGGCUGAAACUCAAAGGAAUUGACGGGGGCCCGCACAAGCGGUGGAGCAUGUGGUUUAAUUCGAAGCUACGCGAAGAACCUUACCAGGUCUUGACAUACUAUGCAAAUCUAAGAGAUUAGACGUUCCCUUCGGGGACAUGGAUACAGGUGGUGCAUGGUUGUCGUCAGCUCGUGUCGUGAGAUGUUGGGUUAAGUCCCGCAACGAGCGCAACCCUUAUUAUCAGUUGCCAGCAUUAAGUUGGGCACUCUGGUGAGACUGCCGGUGACAAACCGGAGGAAGGUGGGGAUGACGUCAAAUCAUCAUGCCCCUUAUGACCUGGGCUACACACGUGCUACAAUGGAUGGUACAACGAGUUGCGAACUCGCGAGAGUAAGCUAAUCUCUUAAAGCCAUUCUCAGUUCGGAUUGUAGGCUGCAACUCGCCUACAUGAAGUCGGAAUCGCUAGUAAUCGCGGAUCAGCAUGCCGCGGUGAAUACGUUCCCGGGCCUUGUACACACCGCCCGUCACACCAUGAGAGUUUGUAACACCCAAAGUCGGUGGGGUAACCUUUUAGGAACC
RNAcentral lists this ribosomal RNA (1427 nucleotides) under Lactiplantibacillus plantarum. RNAcentral describes it as "bacterial SSU rRNA". It matches the Rfam family "Bacterial small subunit ribosomal RNA". Lineage: Bacteria; Bacillati; Bacillota; Bacilli; Lactobacillales; Lactobacillaceae. The record is from RNAcentral.